UUCUGGAUAAUGAGAAGAAAAAUAUUAGAAGAAAAUUUGUUUUUACAUGAUAGAGUUACAAUUUUAUCUCUAAAUUUUCAAAAAUAACUUAUACAGUAUAAGGAUGUAUUUGUAAUUUUGAACAUUUUCCUUCCGCUUUCUUUCAGUCUCUCGAGAAAAUGACAGUGAAAAUUUAAAUAUUAUUUUCCUUUCAAAAUUCUCUUUUUAUUGAUUUUCCUCUUAACCAAACAUGAAACGACUUGACUUUCUUAUUUUCCCUUGAUCCAAACGUAAGCUAAGAGAAGGCAGCCUCAGGAUGUCUCAUGAAGAGCACGAGUUCUUGCGUUUUCCUCCUCCUUCCGUGGACUCUUUUCAUUCCUUUCCUCUCUGUUUUAUGGCGUUGGAUAUUCCAUGAGUAAUAAAACCUGCAAUUCGCAAAUUUUUUUUCGGUGGAGAAUUGCAAGAAUCACAGAAUCACGGAAACGAAGAGAAAAGUGGUAUUACACGGUAAUUAAUUACAUGCGGAAUUCAGAACCAGAACGCCCUUUUGAAUAAAAUCUAACUUUGGAUCUUAAAUUUAAGGGAAAAGAUCAGAAGAUACAACAAAAUAUCAGUAAGAAGAUUUGAAAGUUGGGCUAAAAUUUGAAACUCUUGCAGAAGACUUGACGCAUCUGAGGCAGCUGGGUUGAUGAGCAGCUCCAGAGGAAGAAGAAAAACAGGAUGUAAGAGAUUGGAGCAACAAAUCAAAAAUCAUGCGCUUAACAAGCCUCCUCUUCUUUGGAAACACACUUCCAUUCUUCGAUUUGAACCAUGUCUCUGUCUUCAUCUUCUCCAUCUCCAUCUCCAUCUCCAUCUCCAUCUCCAAGCUUCUUCUCUGUGCCACUCCCCUGUUUUAGCUUAGAAAAUGAACUCAGCUUUGUUGCCAAUAUAUAACUGUUGAAUUUUUGAAUUUCUGUUAAAUGUCUGAAAAACCCAGCCAAUCACAGAGUAGCUUGGUACAAAAGUUUCCUUCAAUGCAUGACGCGUGGACGUAAAAUGGCAGCCUAUUCGGGUCAUCCAUAUACAACUAUUGUAUUAACC
RNAcentral lists this long non-coding RNA (1059 nucleotides) under Manihot esculenta (cassava). RNAcentral describes it as "long non-coding RNA (MESC_LNC012917)". The record is from RNAcentral. Lineage: Eukaryota; Viridiplantae; Streptophyta; Magnoliopsida; Malpighiales; Euphorbiaceae.